CUAGGUCAUAUGAUGAUCACAGGUGCAUAGUUAAGAAGAUCGAACCGUGAUUACUUGAAAUAUAAGCCUUUCGCUUUUAUCUCACAACUUCC
Small nucleolar RNA from Lolium rigidum, 92 nucleotides. RefSeq annotates it as small nucleolar RNA snR60/Z15/Z230/Z193/J17. The record is from RefSeq and is a predicted model, not a curated record. The transcript has a single exon. NCBI's taxonomy places the organism in Eukaryota, Viridiplantae, Streptophyta, Magnoliopsida, Poales, Poaceae.